Long non-coding RNA from Vidua chalybeata, 2477 nucleotides. RefSeq lists it as uncharacterized. NCBI's taxonomy places the organism in Eukaryota, Metazoa, Chordata, Aves, Passeriformes, Viduidae. The transcript has 6 exons. The record is from RefSeq and is a predicted model, not a curated record.
CCGCACUCUGCCGUUCACUCACACAUACACACACACACGCCCAAGCACGCACGUCCGGACGUAACAGACACACCACACACUGAAAUCGCGAUUUCGCCCUCCCCGAGCCGCGCUAUCACCUGGGGAGGUCCUCCCGCCGCCGGCCUCUCCCCCGGUGGCGCUCUGCUUGCAAGCCCCUGGGCAAACCUGCGCGCAAAAACGUCUUUUUGCGACUUAUCAGUGCCAACCUUAAGAAAAGAAAUUAAUACAUACCGCUUUCAUCCGCUUAUCGACGGGCCGUGGUCUGCUCCCCGCAGUAUACAGCCGAGGCGCAGAGUCCCACCGGGAAAAAGCCCCGCGGCGCCUGAGGGUGUCUGCUCCCAACCGGACCCACGGAGACAGCUCAUGGUGUUCCCGAGGAGGAUUUCUGCCUGCAGGGACAGUUCUGGUGCCACUGGGGCCGUGGGUGUUCUCUGGUUAUCAUCAACUUCUUCCCCUUAAUCCUGGUGUCUCCUUAAAGAUGGAGAGGAGGUGGAAGGAUGUUUGUCUUUUCUGAUAAGGAGGACAGGAAAAAUCACUGAAGUUGCCCCAGCAAUGCUAAAAGCUUUGGUGUUUGAGUAGCCAAACCCAACAGCUUCUGCCCCUGCUCCUGCCUGUGCUGUGGGGUCAGUCAGAAGGACACAGGGUUCCUCUUCUCCUCUCUGCUGGGUUUAACUUCCUACAGCUCACUGAGGCUGGGAAUUGUAUCCAGAGCUUUUUGAGGCUCCUGGUGCUCGGGGCUGUGGUGUUUGGUGUGCAGAAAGCAUCCCAGGCUGUCUACCUCAGCCCAGGGCACAGCUGGAGAAAAGGUGGAGAGUGGCAAGCAGGAGUCCCACAUUUGGAUCCACCCUUGGAUUCCAGUUCCUCCUGGUGGGUCUGUGCUGCCCAAAGCAGAGAGGAAGGAGAUGUUGGAGUUCCUGUUUGUUCACUUGCUGAGCUUGGAAGAGACUCUUGAGUGUGAAAUUCCAGGGAAGCUGUGCUUGCUGUAGUGAGUGGAGAGAGAAGCAGUGGCAGCUGUUUGCUGUGUGCUGGUUUUCGACCUUGGCUUCGGUUCCCUGGCACUCCAGGGUUGAGAAUCCCACUGGUUCCACGAAUGAAAACAACAGGAUUGGUGUUUUGAGGGGCCCUUGGCAAAUUGCUGACAAGGAAAAGUCCCCACCAAGGUCUUGUCUGUGGCACCUGGAGCUGCCCGGGCCACUGAAAGGCUCCAAAUCUGCUGGUGUUUGAGGUGAGCUGUGGCAGAAUGGAAGAGCAAACACUUGGGAUUAAUUUCCUGCCAGAAAUGCGUUUCGGCAGCAGCAAUCAGCGGAGAUGUAGUGAGAAACUGUUCUGGUUUGAAAGCAAAACCAGUGAGAGACUCCAAGUCAGAAAUACAAUUUAUUGGGAAAAGGGGAAAAAAAAAGACAAAAAUACAUGCAAUGAUAUAAAAGGAAAACCACUGACAAAGUCAGAAUACAACCUGACACCCCUUUGGUCAGCGUGCUGGUAGUAGUCCAAAUUGGAGUGGCUGCAGUCCUCCUCGAGUGACAGAUCUGGUUGCUGUGUCUUCUCGGAAACCUGUGGAAAGGCUGCCUUUCUGUCUAGAAAUCCCUGGAUUUAUCCAGGUGGGAAUGCCUAGCUUCUCCCCCUGGGCAGAGCAUCUCACAAUGGGCUGAUGUUAUUCUGAGUCAUGAAGUGUGUCCUUAAUCACCUGUUAAACAGAACUGGCUCCUGGAGAGUGUUAUCUCUGAGUCAUGUGGCAAGACAUUGAUGGGCCUAUUAACAGGAGAUAAGGAAAACUGUCCAGAUGCAACUGCUACUCGGAUGGUAAUAGGAAACAUCUUGGUGCUCAGUCUUGGACAGAAACCUCUCCAGUUUGUGCUUCCAUGCAGCUCCUCCUCCUGCCCUGGGCUCCUGGCACUGCUGCUAUGAGAGACAGGCUCCCUGCUCCCACUGAAAUGCAAAGCAAUGGAAAUGCCAGAGAUGAAACAUUAGUGUGGAGUGGGAAGUGGGAAGCAGCUGCUGGCAGCAGGUUGACCCAGUGAACGGGCACUUCUCAGGGACUCGGCAGCCACGUGGGGAGGAACGUGGCAGGGCUUCACCACGGAGUCCCAGCUCUGCUCCACCCUCAAUCAUGGGCUCUUGUCAGAUCAGCUGCUCCUUCUGAUCCUAAGCAGGCACAAAUUAUCCCUUUUUGCUUCUCAAGGAAAAGGCUAAGCUUGGUGUCCUGCAUUAGGGUUGUUUACAACCUCUGGAGUUUCCUUAUUAAUGACUGCCCAGGAAGGAUCUUGUGGGAUGUGUUCGCUGGACAAGUUUGGUCACAACUGACAGAAUUCCUGCUGGCUCCUUCACCUCCUGGUCCCUCGUGUUUCACUGAGCAGAGCUGGCAGUGUUAUGAACAGUUUCCAGGUGUUCCCCAGAGACGCGGGCAGGGCUUUCCUAGUUCCCAUGGCAACACUAAAAGAAAACUACUAACUCUA